RNAcentral lists this ribosomal RNA (293 nucleotides) under uncultured microorganism. RNAcentral's name for it is "partial 16S ribosomal RNA". It matches the Rfam family "Bacterial small subunit ribosomal RNA", at positions 505 to 796 of the family's 1533-position model. The record is from RNAcentral.
GUGCCAGCAGCCGCGGUAAUACGUAGGUGGCAAGCGUUGUCCGGAAUUAUUGGGCGUAAAGCGCGCGCAGGCGGUCCUUUAAGUCUGAUGUGAAAGCCCACGGCUUAACCGUGGAGGGUCAUUGGAAACUGGGGGACUUGAGUGCAGAAGAGGAAAGUGGAAUUCCAAGUGUAGCGGUGAAAUGCGUAGAGAUUUGGAGGAACACCAGUGGCGAAGGCGACUUUCUGGGUCUGUAACUGACGCUGAGGCGCGAAAGCGUGGGGAGCAAACAGGAUUAGAUACCCUGGUAGUCC